This is a non-coding RNA of Trametes versicolor FP-101664 SS1, 94 nucleotides long. NCBI's taxonomy places the organism in Eukaryota, Fungi, Basidiomycota, Agaricomycetes, Polyporales, Polyporaceae. The record is from the annotation of a RefSeq genome assembly.
GCCGCAUUGGCGUAGUGGUAUGCGCGCCCCACUUGUAUCGAGCGUUUCGCUCCGAGCAAUGGGGAGGUCACUCGUUCAACCCGGGUAUGUGGCA